AACAUUAUUAGGUGCU
This 16-nucleotide small RNA is filed under the name Arabidopsis thaliana (thale cress). Its description in RNAcentral is "ATSL138320". The record is from RNAcentral. Lineage: Eukaryota; Viridiplantae; Streptophyta; Magnoliopsida; Brassicales; Brassicaceae.